This 497-nucleotide ribosomal RNA is filed under the name uncultured bacterium. Its description in RNAcentral is "partial 16S ribosomal RNA". It matches the Rfam family "Bacterial small subunit ribosomal RNA", at positions 28 to 507 of the family's 1533-position model. The record is from RNAcentral.
GAUGAACGCUGGCGGCGUGCCUAAUACAUGCAAGUCGAGCGAACAGAUAAGGAGCUUGCUCCUUUGACGUUAGCGGCGGACGGGUGAGUAACACGUGGGUAACCUACCUAUAAGACUGGGAUAACUUCGGGAAACCGGAGCUAAUACCGGAUAAUAUUUCGAACCGCAUGGUUCGAUAGUGAAAGAUGGUUUUGCUAUCACUUAUAGAUGGACCCGCGCCGUAUUAGCUAGUUGGUAAGGUAACGGCUUACCAAGGCGACGAUACGUAGCCGACCUGAGAGGGUGAUCGGCCACACUGGAACUGAGACACGGUCCAGACUCCUACGGGAGGCAGCAGUAGGGAAUCUUCCGCAAUGGGCGAAAGCCUGACGGAGCAACGCCGCGUGAGUGAUGAAGGUCUUCGGAUCGUAAAACUCUGUUAUUAGGGAAGAACAUACGUGCAAGUAACUGUGCACGUCUUGACGGUACCUAAUCAGAAAGCCACGGCUAACUACGUG